Molecule: long non-coding RNA, 418 nt
Organism: Nannospalax galili (Upper Galilee mountains blind mole rat)
Lineage: Eukaryota; Metazoa; Chordata; Mammalia; Rodentia; Spalacidae
Exons: 2
Source: RefSeq, a predicted model, not a curated record
GGGAAACUGAGUGUGGGUCACAGUGGCCAAAAAGUUGUCAGGGUCCCCUGAUCAGGGAACUUUAAAGCACUGACAUCUGGAGCGAGGUGGCAGGGAGGCCUGGCAGCAGAAUACCACCAGAAAUGGCCAGCAAACCCAGAAGAUGGAAACCAGGAAGGGAUGGCCUCAGAUGGGAGGUGAGCACUGGGCCUCACGAUGAUGGCGGCGGACAUGAACCUGCACUUAAAGUGAACAAAGCUGGAGAACUGAGUGAAGGUGGUGGUGUUCAUCCUGACAGAACUGGGGCAUGUGGUCUGUGACAGGAGCCGUGGAUGUCGGAAUGUGAGACUUGUGCUCAUUUUUAACAAUGGGGAAUCAAACUAUUGUAGGCAGGGGAAAAUCUUAAAAAUCACAUCUGUAUCAUUCAGAAACAUGGAGG